AGGCUCUAUGUCAGGCAUUUUACUCCAGCCAUUUUCCUUGAGAUAACUUGGAGCAAACAAAAUGUUGUCCUUCUGUGCCUACUUCAAGGUUUAAAAUCAGAAUUGUCCCAAACAGGAAAAUGUUAUUUGAGAAGAAUUAUGUCCCAACAGUGUUUGAGAAUUAGACGGCCAAUUUUGAAACUGACAUACAAAGAAUAGAGUGGAGUCUGUGGCACACUUCGGGUAAGAGUGUCAUGGGACCUUGCGGUGCUUGGGGCAGCUUUCCAGCAGCACGGGGGGCCGGAGGGGGGGGCGGCUGAUGCGUGGCAUGCCUCAAGCACCCAACAGCGCACCAACAGCGCACCACCAGCACACUCUGUGACCCUGGUUUA
Molecule: long non-coding RNA, 371 nt
Filed under: Mustela putorius furo (domestic ferret)
Lineage: Eukaryota; Metazoa; Chordata; Mammalia; Carnivora; Mustelidae
Description: lncRNA (ENSMPUG00000026015.1)
Source: RNAcentral